UACGUAGGGUGCGAGCGUUGUCCGGAAUUAUUGGGCGUAAAGGGCUUGUAGGUGGCGUGUCGCGUCUGUCGUGAAAUGCUUCGGCUUAACCGGGGCAGUGCGGUGGGUACGGGCAUGCUUGAGUGUGGUAGGGGAGAUUGGAAUUCCUGGUGUAGCGGUGGAAUGCGCAGAUGUCAGGAGGAACACCGGUGGCGAAGGCGGAUCUCUGGGCCAUUACUGACACUGAGGAGCGAAAGCGUGGGGAGCGAACAGGAUUAGAUACCCG
Molecule: ribosomal RNA, 265 nt
Filed under: uncultured prokaryote
Description: partial 16S ribosomal RNA
Rfam family: Bacterial small subunit ribosomal RNA
Source: RNAcentral